Long non-coding RNA from Lactuca sativa (garden lettuce), 936 nucleotides. RefSeq lists it as uncharacterized. The record is from RefSeq and is a predicted model, not a curated record. NCBI's taxonomy places the organism in Eukaryota, Viridiplantae, Streptophyta, Magnoliopsida, Asterales, Asteraceae.
UUGGAACGUAGGAUCACAUGAUUCUUCAUUCUUGUAGCGUGGUCCCUCUGUUUUGUUGUGUUUAUCUAAAAGAUUUGAAGGUCUCCUCUAGCGUAUGCAGGGUGAGCAACCAUAAUUGGAUACAUUGCUUUGUACUACUCCUUAUGUUUUUCUUCUUUUGGAAUUUUGUUAUCAAUAAAUUCUGAUGUCGUGUUUCUCCUUCAUCAUUCUCUUUUUUCUUUAAUACCUUAUUAAUCCUUCCAUUGCUUAUCGCCUACCUCAACGCCUGUAUCUUGGGCUCGUGUGUCUCUUUGUUUCUUCUGUUUAUAACCCAGAAAAGGCUAAUUACUCAUCAACAAAACAACCAACAUAAUGUUUUGAUGUUUCUUUGUUCUGUAUAAUCUGGGAAGAUGAUAUUUGGUGUUUUACGAUGUGUGGUUGGACAAGAUGAGAUCCCAUGGGGAUUAUCGUGCGUGUUGGAAUUGGUGGUCUCGGAAAGAUCUUAUUGCUGCUGGAGACCAUUCUGGGGGAGAAGAUUUGACAUAACCAAUCAAACAGCACCAGCAUGCGGAUGCGGCCAAGACAUGGAUGUUCCUGGCUGAACAAAAUCAGACACAUCGGAUAUGUCUGAAGUGCCACGGGUCUGAACCACAUGAUGCAGCCCAAUCUUCUGGCCCAACAAAAGCGUGUAACUUGUCAUUUGUUUGAUUAAUUCUUAGAAUGCAUAUGUUUAUCACUUUAUCUAGUAUUUUAGGUCCAUGCUUCCCAUUAUCUUCGUAUUUUCCAGUUGCAUUUAGGGUUUGCUGCAUAUUUAUAUUGCUGUAAAACAUUUGGUUGUUACAUGAACACAUUCCAAUAUCUGAUUUCGGUUCAAAUAGGACCAAUCUGAUGAGGAUCGGUCGGGUUCCACUAUAGGCUCAACCAGUUAAUAUAGUUCCUGCAUUUUUUUUAACAAAA